UCCCCGCUUCUCCUCCCUGAGCGGGUGCCUGUCGUUAUUCGAUAAGGCUGUUUGACCCGCCGUUUGACGGCGGGUUUUUUUAU
This 83-nucleotide non-coding RNA is filed under the name Burkholderia multivorans. Its description in RNAcentral is "anti-hemB". It matches the Rfam family "Burkholderia RNA 7 (anti-hemB)". Rfam says of the family: This RNA motif was identified by computational search in b-proteobacteria Burkholderia. Co-purified with Hfq, expression confirmed by Northern blot. RNAcentral also lists the same sequence under 1 other name. The record is from RNAcentral. Lineage: Bacteria; Pseudomonadati; Pseudomonadota; Betaproteobacteria; Burkholderiales; Burkholderiaceae.